GCCCGGGUAGCUCAAUUGGCAGAGCAGCGCUUUUGUAAAGCGAAGGUUUGGAGAUUCGACUUCUCUCCCGGGCUCUA
RNAcentral lists this transfer RNA (77 nucleotides) under Parcubacteria group bacterium CG1_02_37_13. RNAcentral's name for it is "tRNA-Thr". It matches the Rfam family "tRNA". From Rfam's summary of the family: Transfer RNA (tRNA) molecules are approximately 80 nucleotides in length. Their secondary structure includes four short double-helical elements and three loops (D, anti-codon, and T loops). RNAcentral also lists the same sequence under 1 other name. The record is from RNAcentral.